This 1279-nucleotide ribosomal RNA is filed under the name metagenome. Its description in RNAcentral is "bacterial LSU rRNA". It matches the Rfam family "Bacterial large subunit ribosomal RNA", at positions 1612 to 2925 of the family's 2925-position model. The record is from RNAcentral.
AAAAAACUUCUAAGGUGUGGCUAAAGCGGCCCGUACCGCAAACCGACACAGGUAGUCGAGGCGAAUAGCCUAAGGUGCUCGGGUGAGCCGUGGAGAAGGAACUAGGUAAAUUGAUGCUGUAACUUCGGGAUAAAGCAUGCCACCUUCUGGGUGGCCCCAGUAAAAUGGUUCAACCAACUGUUUAACAAAAACACAGGGCCCUGCAAAAUCGUAAGAUGACGUAUAGAGCCUGAUACCUGCCCGGUGCUGGAAGGUUAAGGAAGGGUGUUCGGCGCAAGCCAAAGCUCCUGACUGAAGCCCCAGUAAACGGCGGCCGUAACAAUAACGGUCCUAAGGUAGCGAAAUUCCUUGUCGGGUAAGUUCCGACCUGCACGAAUGGUCUAAUGAGUUGAACGCUGUCUCCUCCACGAGCCCGGCGAAAUUGUAGUAUCGGUGAAGAUGCCGGUUACCCGUCACGGGACGGAAAGACCCCGUGAACCUUCACUACAACUUUGCAUUGAUUUUGAGCAAACAAUGUGUAUAAUAGUUGGGACUCUUUGAAGCGGUGCCGCCAGGUGCCGUGGAGAGGUCGUUGAGAUACCAACCUUUGUUUGCUUAGAGUCUAAUCCCUGACGGGAAACAGUGCAUGGUGGGUAGUUUGACUGGGGUGGUCGCCUCCUAAAAAGUAACGGAGGCUUGCAAAGGUUCCCUCAGUACGGUUGGUAAUCGUACGAAGAGCGUAUUAGUAUAAGGGAGCUUGACUGUGAGACAGACAAGUCGAGCAGGGUCGAAAGACGGCUAAAGUGAUCCGGUGGUUCUGCAUGGAAGGGCCAUCGCUCAAAGGAUAAAAGGUACUCCCGGGAUAACAGGCUGAUCUCACCCAAGAGCUCAUAUCGACGGUGAGGUUUGGCACCUCGAUGUCGGUUCGUCACAUCCUGGGGCUGGAGAAGGUCCCAAGGGUUCGGCUGUUCGCCGAUUAAAGUGGCACGUGAACUGGGUUCAGAACGUCGCAAGACAGUUCGGUCCCUAUCUGUGAUGGGCGUUAGAAUAUUGCGUGGACAUGACCUUAGUACGAGAGGACCGGGUCGUACAGACCGCUGGUGUAUCUGUUGUGCCGCCAGGUGCAAUGCAGAGUAGCUACGUCUGGCCAGGAUAAACGCUGAAAGCAUCUAAGCGUGAAACCUUCCACAAGAUGAGUGUUCUUUUAAGGGUCGUCGCAGACUACGACGUUGAUAGGCUACAGAUGUAAAACUGGUAACAGUAAAGUCGAGUAGUACUAAUUGCCCGUACGCUUUAAUUA